This 433-nucleotide ribosomal RNA is filed under the name uncultured bacterium. RNAcentral describes it as "partial 16S ribosomal RNA". It matches the Rfam family "Bacterial small subunit ribosomal RNA", at positions 29 to 507 of the family's 1533-position model. The record is from RNAcentral.
AACGAACGCUGGCGGCAUGCCUAACACAUGCAAGUCGAACGAGACCUUCGGGUCUAGUGGCGCACGGGUGCGUCACGCGUGGGAACCUGCCCUUAGGUUCGGAAUAACUCCCCGACAGGGGUGCUAAUACCGGAUAAUGUCUUCGGCCCAAAGAUUUAUCGCCUUUGGAUGGGCCCGCGUUGGAUUCGCUAGUUGGUAGGGUAAAAGCCUACCAAGGCGACGAUCCAUAGCUGGUCUGAGAGGAUGGUCAGCCACACUUCGACUGAGACACGGCCCAGACUCCUACGGGAGGGAGCAGUGGGGAAUAUUGGACAAGGGGCGAAAGCCUGAUCCAGCUAUGCCGCGUGAGUUAUGAAGGCCUUAGGGUUGUAAAGCUCUUUUAACCGGGAUGAUAAUGACAGUACCGGGAGAAUAAGCCCCGGCUAACUACGUG